RNAcentral lists this ribosomal RNA (253 nucleotides) under uncultured bacterium. RNAcentral's name for it is "partial 16S ribosomal RNA". It matches the Rfam family "Bacterial small subunit ribosomal RNA", at positions 524 to 776 of the family's 1533-position model. The record is from RNAcentral.
UACGGAGGGUGCAAGCGUUAUCCGGAUUUACUGGGUUUAAAGGGUGCGUAGGCGGGUCUGUAAGUCAGUGGUGAAAUCUUCGAGCUUAACUCGGAAACUGCCAUUGAUACUAUAGGUCUUGAAUUAUCUGGAGGUAAGCGGAAUAUGUCAUGUAGCGGUGAAAUGCUUAGAUAUGACAUAGAACACCAAUUGCGAAGGCAGCUUACUACGGAUUGAUUGACACUGAGGCACGAAAGCGUGGGGAUCAAACAGG